Molecule: ribosomal RNA, 422 nt
Filed under: uncultured archaeon
Lineage: Archaea
Description: partial 16S ribosomal RNA
Rfam family: Archaeal small subunit ribosomal RNA
Source: RNAcentral
CUACGGGUUGCAGCAGGCGCGAAACCUUUACAAUGUACGUAAGUGCGAUAAGGGAACUCCCAGUGCUCAUGUAAUGCAUGGGCUUUUGUUAAGUGUAAAUAGCUUGGCGAAUAAGUGGUGGGUAAGACGGGUGCCAGCCGCCGCGGUAACACCUGCGCCACGAGUGGCAUUCACGUUUACUGGGCCUAAAGCGUUCGUAGCCGGAUAGAUAAGUCUUAAGUGAAAUCGUUGCGCUUAACAAAACGACGUGCUUGAGAUACUGGUUAUCUAGGGACCGGGAGGAGUUAGGGGUAUCCCAGAGGGAGCGGUAAAAUGCUGUAAUCUCUGGAGGACCACCUGUGGCGAAGGCGCCUAACUAGAACGGGUCCGACGGUGAGGAACGAAAGCCAGGGGAGCAAAACGGAUUAGAUACCCCGGUAGUC